AACGAACGCUGGCGGCAUGCCUAACACAUGCAAGUCGAACGAUGCUUUCGGGCAUAGUGGCGCACGGGUGCGUAACGCGUGGGAAUCUGCCCUUGGGUUCGGUAUAACAGAGAGAAAUUGCUGCUAAUACCGGUUGAUGUCUUCGGACCAAAGAUUUAUCGCCCAGGGAUGAGCCCGCGUAGGAUUAGCUAGUUGGUGGUGUAAUGGCCUGCCAAGGCGACGAUCCUUAGCUGGUCUGUGAGGAUGAUCAGCCACACUGGGAAUGAGACACGGCCCAGACUCCUACGGGAGGCAGCAGUGGGGAAUAUUGUACAAUGGGCGCAAGCCUGAUCCAGCAAUGCCGCGUGAGUGAUGAAGGGCUUAGGGUUGUAAAGCUCUUUUACCCGGGAUGAUAAUGACAGUAACGGGAGAAUAAGCUCCGGCUAACUACGUG
RNAcentral lists this ribosomal RNA (433 nucleotides) under uncultured bacterium. Its description in RNAcentral is "partial 16S ribosomal RNA". It matches the Rfam family "Bacterial small subunit ribosomal RNA", at positions 29 to 507 of the family's 1533-position model. The record is from RNAcentral.